AGGUGCGAUCAUACCAGCACUAAUGCACCGGAUCCCAUCAGAACUCCGCAGUUAAGCGUGCUUGGGCGAGAGUAGUACUAGGAUGGGUGACCUCCUGGGAAGUCCUCGUGUUGCACUUCUUU
Molecule: ribosomal RNA, 122 nt
Filed under: Phaseolus vulgaris (common bean)
Lineage: Eukaryota; Viridiplantae; Streptophyta; Magnoliopsida; Fabales; Fabaceae
Source: RNAcentral